CACCAAAAAGGUGCCCCUCUGUUCUCCCCCUCCGGGCGCAGGGUACCUUUCAGACCAAGGCCGCUUUCCCCUUCCAUUUAUCUCAUAGCCAUACAUACGCAGACACACACCAGCACACAGGCGGAGUGACUGAAAGAAGAGGAUCACGUCUCUCGCCGCCCCCCCUCCUCCUCCCCCCUUUCCCGCCUCACCUCACCCCUUCACCACCGCCGCGCUGCUCCCCUUUCCCCAGAGCGAGCAGCGCUUUGCACUCAUCAGCGUCGCGUGUUUCUGCUGGAUUCAUCUUUGUGAUUCACAGCGUGCGCCUUCCACCCCGCCCCCCCCCCCCCUGGCCCUCUCUUCCUGUCCCACCAUGUCACGGCAGUUCUCCUCUAGCGAGACGCUCGACUCAUCGCAGCAGCGUCUCGAGGCAGCUCGCUACGCGGCAUCGACGGAGGAGGAGAGCAGUUUGCCGGAAAGCGGAGACUACGAUCGCCGCUCGCCGGAGACAGGGCACUACAGCUCACGCCCGGGCCACCUUCAGCGCGUGCCGUCUAAACAGAUCACCAGCGUUAGCCCGUCGUGGCGUAAGGUGCUCUACGAGCGACAGCCUUUUGAGGACAACUACGUCGACCCACAGCAGUUCUUGGAGGAGUUGAGUCAUAACAAGGACAUCAAGAACUACGAGUACGCGACCGUCGUCAUCAAUACCCUCGCCAUCACACAGGAGAUCUCGAUCGUUGUGCUCUUCUGCCACGCCUUCAUGGGUGUCUUCACGAACUCGAUUGGCAAGUACUCACUCCUGUGGAUUGAUGUGCUGAGCGUGCUCGCCGCGCUUGUGUGCUACGUGUUUUACCAGUGCCACCAAGACGCCUGCAAGGAGACGGCGGAGCGACCCGCCAGCCUGAGCACGCGCUGUUCACCGCCGCCGCGGCAGCCAUCGCGGUGGCUCUUUCACGCGUGGAACUUUGGCCGACAGGUUGUCAGCCUCGUCACAAUGCUCGCCCUGCUCAGCCCCAUCUUCAGCACCCUCACUGUCACCUACAGCGACGACACCAUCGUGACGCUGUCCAUCCUCACCAUGUCCCUGCACGUGCUGUUGACGGACUACAGCUAUCUGAACGCCUACACCCAGCGCUUCGACCCUAACUUGUCCGUUAACAUGGCCAUCUACUGCGUGACCCUCAUGGCCUCACGCAUCUCCAGCCCUCUAGCGAGCGGGGCCCUCAUCUGCUUUGGCAUCAUGUGCUUCUCGCUCUCCCCGAUCGUCCGUCACCUCGUUAAGCACUACUCCUUCACUGCCCACGUCGCCAUCACAUUCGGCCUCGUUGGCCUGGCGAUCGGGUGCCUGACCCAGAUCCCGAUCCUGGCCAUCUUGUACACCGUGACGGUGCUUAUGAUCUCGUUUGGCAUUCCGUGGCUCUUUGUGCGCAUGCACAGCAGCGUCAAGACCCAAAUCAAUGGCCCCUGGGACGAGGCGAAGCCCACCAACAGCGCCGCCGCGGCGGAGUGGGCCAACUCUGGCUUUUUAGCGUGAGCAGUUACCGCUGCGAAUCAUCUGACGGCGUUUGGAUUGCGUGCUGGCGGUGUCUGACGAGGUUUGCGGGGCCGCUUUUCUUUUUGCAUGGAUGCCUACGUUGGCGCCUGUCGCGUGAGCUGCUACCUUCUUUUUCUUUCAUUGUUGGCGUGCCCCCUCGCGUCCCGCAGUGUGUUUGGCUCGUCACCACGACCCCUGUGCGUAGAGGAUAAGCCGCGAAACACAACAGCUAGUAACAACAACGAAAAAGACGCGCACCAGAUGCUUGAGGGAAGUGCGCCCAUGCACGUGGAUUGCUCACUAGGACUGCGACUUUUCCGUCGUUGCCACUCCCAGAAGCAAUGAUUUUAUCUCGAAAGCGUUUUAGCUCUCUCUCUCUCUGUCUCUUGCUCGUUGGCCAACCAAUCUUCGUGCGUAUGCUAUCGCGUAAGACGUGCGCCGAGC
This 1960-nucleotide unclassified non-coding RNA is filed under the name Leishmania donovani. RNAcentral describes it as "gene:LdHU3.36.2350(CDS-product:phosphatidylinosit olN-acetylglucosaminyltransfe_ra_sesubunit_c_putative)". The record is from RNAcentral. Lineage: Eukaryota; Euglenozoa; Kinetoplastea; Trypanosomatida; Trypanosomatidae.